AUUGAACGCUGGCGGCAGGCCUAACACAUGCAAGUCGAACGGUAACAGGAAGCAGCUUGCUGCUUCGCUGACGAGUGGCGGACGGGUGAGUAAUGUCUGGGAAGCUGCCUGAUGGAGGGGGAUAACUACUGGAAACGGUAGCUAAUACCGCAUAAUGUCGCAAGACCAAAGAGGGGGACCUUCGGGCCUCUUGCCAUCGGAUGUGCCCAGAUGGGAUUAGCUUGUUGGUGGGGUAACGGCUCACCAAGGCGGCGAUCCCUAGUUGGUCUGAGAGGAUGACCAGCCAACAUGGAAAGUAGGAAAGGUGCAGAAUACUACGGGAGGCAGCAGUGGGGAAUAUUGCACAAUGGGCGCAAGCCUGAUGCAGCCAUGCCGCGUGUAUGAAGAAGGCCUUCGGGUUGUAAAGUACUUUCAGCGGGGAGGAAGGGAGUAAAGUUAAUACCUGUGCUCAUUGACGUUACCCGCAGAAGAAGCACCGGCUAACUCCGUG
RNAcentral lists this ribosomal RNA (490 nucleotides) under uncultured bacterium. RNAcentral describes it as "partial 16S ribosomal RNA". It matches the Rfam family "Bacterial small subunit ribosomal RNA", at positions 30 to 507 of the family's 1533-position model. The record is from RNAcentral.